Molecule: ribosomal RNA, 481 nt
Filed under: uncultured bacterium
Lineage: Bacteria
Description: bacterial SSU rRNA
Rfam family: Bacterial small subunit ribosomal RNA
Source: RNAcentral
UUGAACGCUGGCGGCAUGCUUUACACAUGCAAGUCGAACGGCAGCGGGGGCUUCGGCCUGCCGGCGAGUGGCGAACGGGUGAGUAAUACAUCGGAACGUGUCCUUAAGUGGGGAAUAACGCAUCGAAAGAUGUGCUAAUACCGCAUAUCUCUCAGGAGGAAAGCAGGGGAUCGCAAGACCUUGCGCUAAAGGAGCGGCCGAUGUCUGAUUAGCUAGUUGGUGGGGUAAAGGCCUACCAAGGCAACGAUCAGUAGCUGGUCUGAGAGGACGAUCAGCCACACUGGGACUGAGACACGGCCCACUCCUACGGGAGGCAGCAGUGGGGAAUUUUGGACAAUGGGCGAAAGCCUGAUCCAGCCAUGCCGCGUGAGUGAAGAAGGCCUUCGGGUUGUAAAGCUCUUUUAGUUGGAAAGAAAGAAUUAUAGUUAAUAGCUAUAAUUUAUGACGGUACCAACAGAAAAAGCACCGGCUAACUACGUGC